GACAGAGGAUGCAAGCGUUAUCCGGAAUGAUUGGGCGUAAAGCGUCUGUAGGUGGCUUUUUAAGUCCGCCGUCAAAUCCCAGGGCUCAACCCUGGACAGGCGGUGGAAACUACCAAGCUGGAGUACGGUAGGGGCAGAGGGAAUUUCCGGUGGAGCGGUGAAAUGCGUAGAGAUCGGAAAGACCACCAAUGGCGAAGGCACUCUACUGGGCCAUUACUGACACUAAGAGACGAAAGCUAGGGGAGCAAAUGGG
Molecule: ribosomal RNA, 253 nt
Filed under: uncultured bacterium
Lineage: Bacteria
Description: partial 16S ribosomal RNA
Rfam family: Bacterial small subunit ribosomal RNA
Source: RNAcentral